Molecule: ribosomal RNA, 889 nt
Filed under: uncultured bacterium
Lineage: Bacteria
Description: bacterial SSU rRNA
Rfam family: Bacterial small subunit ribosomal RNA
Source: RNAcentral
AGAGUUUGAUCCUGGCUCAGGACGAACGCUGGCGGCGUGCCUAAUACAUGCAAGUAGAACGCUGAAAUCUGGUGCUUGCACCGGAUGGAUGUGUUGCGAACGGGUGAGUAACGCGUAGGUAACCUACCUCAUAGCGGGGGAUAACUAUUGGAAACGAUAGCUAAUACCGCAUAACAGUCUUUAACUCAUGUUAGAGUCUUGAAAGGGGCAAUUGCUUCACUAUGAGAUGGACCUGCGUUGUAUUAGCUAGUUGGUGAGGUAACGGCUCACCAAGGCGACGAUACAUAGCCGACCUGAGAGGGUGAUCGGCCACACUGGGACUGAGACACGGCCCAGACUCCUACGGGAGGCAGCAGUAGGGAAUCUUCGGCAAUGGGGGCAACCCUGACCGAGCAACGCCGCGUGAGUGAAGAAGGUUUUCGGAUCGUAAAGCUCUGUUGUAAGAGAAGAACGUGUGUGAGAGUGGAAAGUUCACACAGUGACGGUAUCUUACCAGAAAGGGACGGCUAACUACGUGCCAGCAGCCGCGGUAAUACGUAGGUCCCGAGCGUUGUCCGGAUUUAUUGGGCGUAAAGCGAGCGCAGGCGGUUUGAUAAGUCUGAAGUUAAAGGCUGUGGCUCAACCAUAGUACGCUUUGGAAACUGUCAAACUUGAGUGCAGAAGGGGAGAGUGGAAUUCCAUGUGUAGCGGUGAAAUGCGUAGAUAUAUGGAGGAACACCGGUGGCGAAAGCGGCUCUCUGGUCUGUAACUGACGCUGAGGCUCGAAAGCGUGGGUAGCGAACAGGAUUAGAUACCCUGGUAGUCCACGCCGUAAACGAUGAGUGCUAGGUGUUAGGCCCUUUCCGGGGCUUAGUGCCGCAGCUAACGCAUUAAGCACUCCGCCUGGGGA